This is a long non-coding RNA of Juglans microcarpa x Juglans regia, 577 nucleotides long. RefSeq lists it as uncharacterized. The record is from RefSeq and is a predicted model, not a curated record. Lineage: Eukaryota; Viridiplantae; Streptophyta; Magnoliopsida; Fagales; Juglandaceae. The transcript has 3 exons.
CGUCUCUCUUUUCUUUUCGGUUUCAUCUUUAUUUCCAGUUGUUGGCAUUAUUUUGAGGUUCCGAAUCCCAUGCCCUAGACUUCCUCAUUGUUUCGGUUUCUCUCUUGCGCUGCAUCUUAUUCCAGUGAGUUGCCGUCUGCUGCAUCUUUGUUUCUCUCCAUUUUUACGUUUCUGUUCUUCCUCUGCAAGUCAGCGAGUAGUACCUCUCAUUCCUCCAUUUUUCGACUGUUUCUGUUUUGGCAGUGAGGUUUGGGUUGCGUUUGUGUGUCUGGGUGUUGUGCGUGGUGAGUCUUCAGGUAAAUCUCUCUCUUUGCUCUCAGGUCGAUGCCUUCCCCGUACUUUAUUUCUUUGGUUUUAUGCAAUUCCGACUUUGAAUUGUUCUAGGCGGUGCCGUUGUUUUCUUCCCCACUCCAAAACCCCACUUUGACGCUCAUUUCUCUUACAGUCCAGUUGGUUUCACUUCUGUCCACUCAGUGUUUAAUCUCUUUGCUGUGGUUUGGCUUGAACUCUGUUGAACGGGUGAUGAGACUGAUAGAGGUCUUUUUCAAAGCUUAGAAAAUACGCUGUAGGAGUCAGG